RNAcentral lists this ribosomal RNA (1335 nucleotides) under metagenome. Its description in RNAcentral is "bacterial LSU rRNA". It matches the Rfam family "Bacterial large subunit ribosomal RNA", at positions 1598 to 2925 of the family's 2925-position model. The record is from RNAcentral.
CCCUAUGCUGCCAAGAAAAUCUUCUAGCGAGGUUCGAGCCGCCCGUACCCCAAACCGACUCAGGUGGUUAGGUAGAGAAUACCAAGGCGAUCGAGUGAACCGUGGUUAAGGAAUUCGGCAAAAUACCCCCGUAACUUCGGGAGAAGGGGGGCCCAGAGGGUGACGGGACUUGCUCCCCGAGCCUGAACGGCCGCAGAGACCAGGGAGAAGCGACUGUUUACUAAAAACACAGGUCCGUGCCAAGUCGCAAGACGAUGUAUACGGACUGACGCCUGCCCGGUGCUGGAACGUUAAGGGGACCGGUUAGCCUCACGGCGAAGCUGAGAACUUAAGCGCCAGUAAACGGCGGUGGUAACUAUAACCAUCCUAAGGUAGCGAAAUUCCUUGUCGGGUAAGUUCCGACCUGCACGAAUGGCGUAACGAUUUCUCCACUGUCUCAACCACGAACUCGGCGAAAUUGCACUACGAGUAAAGAUGCUCGUUACGCGCAGAAGGACGGAAAGACCCCGGGACCUUUACUACAGCUUGGUAUUGGUGUUCGGUACGGCUUGUGUAGGAUAGGUGGGAGACUGAGAAGCUGACACGCCAGUGUCGGUGGAGUCAACGUUGAAAUACCACUCUGGUCGUUCUGGAUAUCUAACCUAGGUCCGUGAUCCGGAUCAGGGACAGUGCCUGGUGGGUAGUUUAACUGGGGCGGUUGCCUCCUAAAAGGUAACGGAGGCGCCCAAAGGUUCCCUCAGCCUGGUUGGCAAUCAGGUUUUGAGUGUAAGUGCACAAGGGAGCUUGACUGUGAGACCGACAAGUCGAACAGGGACGAAAGUCGGGACUAGUGAUCCGGCGGUGGCUUGUGGAAGCGCCGUCGCUCAACGGAUAAAAGGUACCCCGGGGAUAACAGGCUGAUCUUGCCCAAGAGUCCAUAUCGACGGCAUGGUUUGGCACCUCGAUGUCGGCUCGUCGCAUCCUGGGGCUGGAGUAGGUCCCAAGGGUUGGGCUGUUCGCCCAUUAAAGCGGUACGCGAGCUGGGUUUAGAACGUCGUGAGACAGUUCGGUCCCUAUCCUCUGCGCGCGCAGGAAACUUGAGAAGGGCUGUCCCUAGUACGAGAGGACCGGGAUGACGAACCUCUGGUGUGUCAGUUGUUCUGCCAAGAGCACCGCUGAUUAGCUACGUUCGGGAGUGAUAACCGCUGAAAGCAUCUAAGCGGGAAGCAUGCUUCAAGAUGAGGUUUCCAUGGGGUUUACCCCGAGAGGCUCCCAGCUAGACUACUGGGUUGAUAGGCCGGAUGUGGAAGUGCGGUAACGCAUGGAGCUGACCGGUACUAAUAAGCCGAUAACUUG